GAUGAACGCUGGCGGCGUGCCUAAUACAUGCAAGUCGAGCGAACAGACGAGGAGCUUGCUCCUCUGACGUUAGCGGCGGACGGGUGAGUAACACGUGGAUAACCUACCUAUAAGACUGGGAUAACUUCGGGAAACCGGAGCUAAUACCGGAUAAUAUAUUGAACCGCAUGGUUCAAUAGUGAAAGACGGUUUUGCUGUCACUUCUAGAUGGAUCCGCGCCGCAUUAGCUAGUUGGUAAGGUAACGGCUUACCAAGGCAACGAUGCGUAGCCGACCUGAGAGAGUGGUAGGCGACACUGGAGCUGAGCCACGGACCAGACUACUACGGGAGGGCGCAGUAGGGUAUGUGCCGCAAUGGGCGAAAGCCUGACGGAGCGGGGCGGCGUGAGAGAUGGAGGUGUCGGGAUCGUGAAGCUCGGUUUUGAGGGAAGAACAGAUGUGGAAGUAAAUAAGCCCGUAUUGACGGUAAUUGAUAAGAAAGCAACGGCUAACUACGUG
RNAcentral lists this ribosomal RNA (497 nucleotides) under uncultured bacterium. RNAcentral's name for it is "partial 16S ribosomal RNA". It matches the Rfam family "Bacterial small subunit ribosomal RNA", at positions 28 to 507 of the family's 1533-position model. The record is from RNAcentral.